Molecule: long non-coding RNA, 360 nt
Organism: Girardinichthys multiradiatus
Lineage: Eukaryota; Metazoa; Chordata; Actinopteri; Cyprinodontiformes; Goodeidae
Exons: 3
Source: RefSeq, a predicted model, not a curated record
AGCAACAAGGGCAAGCUAAAAAUACAGCAGGUGGCGGUACUGCUUGGAUUAGUUUACCAACCACCAAUUCAUCUUUGUAGAAGAAGAAGACCACGAAAAACGUAAUGGCCAGUGCUGUGCAGCGUGUUGUAGGAGUUUAAGGAUUUCCUUUUCACACAGAAUAUCUGAAGCAAAAGUGUUCCAAUGAAGCAAGAAGAGCUGAUUUUUUUUUUUUUUAAUUAAGUGUUGGCCUGGAUUUCAGAGUGCAGAGUUCAAGAUAUGAUUUAAGGGUCAGUUGGAUUAUAUUGACACAACUACCCGUUAAAAAUAUUGUCCAACUGCUUUUGUCUUUUUACUUCAGCAAAUAAACGCCAAACCAGA